Long non-coding RNA from Gadus morhua (Atlantic cod), 862 nucleotides. The record is from Ensembl. Lineage: Eukaryota; Metazoa; Chordata; Actinopteri; Gadiformes; Gadidae.
CAGGAGAGCAACACUGCAGAUACGAAAGAUCACAGAAGACCCAAGCGUCAGUGUCACAGUUCUUCAUACCCCAAUCAUCUCCUGAGGUUGAUACGGUUGAAGCCACGCCCUCACGUAACGGCUCUAGAAUGCGUAAUCUUCUACAAGAUUCUUUCCCCCGCGCCAUUCCCCCCUCGCUUGUGCAAGGAAGAACUUGACUGCUCAAGUUUCAGCUCAAUUUAAUUUGCUGAAUGGAGCUGAUAUGGACCUGAAGGAUUCCUCGCGGGUCAAUGUGGAGGCUGAUAUAUUCGACGAACUACUGAGAUCUGCUAAAGUAUCUUUCAAGGUGUCCACUGAGCUCUCUGCUGAGAGCGAGGUGUCAGAUGCCUCCUUCGUCUCAGAAGAGGGGUUGUUCUCACCAUUCCAGCCUGUGAGGUCAUCUUCAUCAGUCGAGUCUGUGAACUCCACAGCUUCAACAGUGAGCCAAAAAGAAUGGAAAAAGUGACAACUGACUGAGGGACCACCUGACUGUAACAUGGCAAUAGAUGAGCAUUACUAUGAUCCUCGCAGUGGUCAAGGUUACCUGGCCUAUAGAUUGAAAACAGUGAGCGUAACAAUACAGGCAAAUCCGACACGAAUGCCAGGCCUGUUUAUGAAGGUAGCCUGAAGGUUCUGCGAGAGACCUCAGCAUCUGAACAGCUAUCAGGUGAUGAAUGCAUGGAGGCAAUGUCCAUCAUGAAACAUUCGGUGGACUAGCCAGUUGUCAAAGAAAAAAUGAAGGCAAUGUUCAAGCAUAGACAGAAGAUGCUACGCGAUCCUGACCAGUCCUCGCUUGUCCUGGAUCACUUCCCCCGAUUCCUGGAUACACCAGGCCUGAUAAGAA